AGAACGAACGCUGGCGGCAUGCCUAACACAUGCAAGUCGAACGCUUUUGGGGCUUCGGUCCCAAAGGAGUGGCGCACGGGUGAGUAGCGCGUGGGAACCUGCCCUGGAGUGGGGGAUAACCGAGGGAAACUUCGGCUAAUACCGCAUACGCCGGGAAACCGGGAAAGAUUUAUCGCUCUAGGAGGGGCCCGCGUCGGAUUAGGUAGUUGGUGGGGUAACGGCCUACCAAGCCUGUGAUCCGUAGCUGGUCUGAGAGGAUGAUCAGCCACACUGGGACUGAGACACGGCCCAGACUCCUACGGGAGGCAGCAGUGGGGAAUAUUGGACAAUGGGCGCAAGCCUGAUCCAGCAAUGCCGCGUGAGUGAUGAAGGCCUUCGGGUUGUAAAGCUCUUUCGCACGCGAGGAUGAUGACGCUAGCGUGAGAAGAAGCCCCGGCUAACUUCGUGCCAGCAGCCGC
RNAcentral lists this ribosomal RNA (458 nucleotides) under uncultured bacterium. RNAcentral's name for it is "SSU rRNA". It matches the Rfam family "Bacterial small subunit ribosomal RNA", at positions 26 to 518 of the family's 1533-position model. The record is from RNAcentral.